Molecule: long non-coding RNA, 1353 nt
Filed under: Zonotrichia albicollis (white-throated sparrow)
Lineage: Eukaryota; Metazoa; Chordata; Aves; Passeriformes; Passerellidae
Description: lncRNA (ENSZALG00000016782.1)
Source: RNAcentral
GUUCUCCCCAAGCUGGGGGACACCAGAACCCAACUGGGGCACAGCAGGACCCUGAUGGGUGCAGUAGGACCCCACUGGGCUUCACUAGAACCCCGUUUCUCCCUGUUGUGGUAUAGCAGAACCCCAUUUCCCCUGUUGGGAUACAGCAGGAUCCCAUUUGUCCCUGUUGGGGUUCACUAGAACCCCAUCUCCCCACACUGGAUGCAGCAGGACCCCACUGGGACACAGCAGGAUCCCAAUGGGGCUCACCAGGACCCCAUUUCUCCCCACUGGGGUUCACUGGAACCCUGUUUGUCACCGUUGGGGUUCACUAGAACCCCAUUUCCCCGUGCUGGGUGCAGCAGGACCCUGUUUUUCCCUGCUAGGGUUCACUAUCCUGUUUCUCCCCGUUGUGGUGCACCAGAACCCUGUUUCCCCCCCCUGGCAUACAGCAGGACCACAGUGGGGUUCACCAGGAUCCCAUUUCUUCUCACUGGGAUACAGCAGGACUCCAUUUGUCCCCACUGGGAACCCCAUUUCCUCAAGCUGGAUGCACCAGCACCCCGUUUCCUCCUGUUGGGAUGGAGCAAGACCCCACUGGCAUUCACUAAGACCCGUUUCCCCUCACUGGGAUGCAGCAGGACCCCACUGGGUUCACCAGGGCCCUGUUUCCCCAUUCAGGGGUUCACUAGGACCCUGUUUCUCCCCACUGCAGUGCAGCAGAACCCCUUUUCCUCCCACUGGGUGCAGUAGGACCCCAUUAGGGCUCACCAGGACCCCAUUCCCCUGCUCUGGGGUUCACCAGGACCCCGAUUCCCCGCGUUGGAUGCAGCAGGACCCCGCUGGGGUUCACCAGGACCCCUUUUCUCCACGUUGCGGUGCAGCAAAAACCCCGCUUCUCCUCGCGCUGGGGUCCCCCAGAACCCCGUUUCCCGGGGCUGGGGUUCCCCGUUUCCCCUUUUCCCGGUGCUCUCUCUCCUCACUGGAGUUCCCCGCUCCUUGUUCCCCAUUACCCGUUUCCCGUUCCUCACUCUCACCCCGCUUCCCAUUCCCCGUUCCCUGUUCCCGUUCUCUCUCUCCUUUCUGGGUUUCCCCGUUCCCCCCGCUGUUUCCCCGUUCCCGUUUCUCCCUCUCUCCCCGUUCUCUCUGCCUCUCUCCCCGUGGGGGGCCGGGUUCCCCCUUCCCGUUUCUCUCUCUCCCCGUUCCCUGUUGUUUCCCCGUUCCCUUUUUUCUCUCUCUCUCCCCGCUGGGUCUCCCGUUCCCGUUCCUCUCUCUCCCGUUCCCGUUUCUGUCUCCCCGUUUCCCCGUUAUUUCUCCNNNNNNNNNNNNNNNNNNNNNNNNNNNNNNNNNNNNNNNNNNNNNNNNNNNNNNNNN